CCUACGGGAGGCAGCAGUGGGGAAUAUUGGGCAAUGGACGCAAGUCUGACCCAGCAACGCCGCGUGAAGGAAGAAGGCUUUCGGGUUGUAAACCUCUUUUGUCGGGGAGCAAAAGCCGGACGUGUCCGGCUGUGAGAGUACCCGAAGAAAAAGCAUCGGCUAACUCCGUGCCAGCAGCCGCGGUAAUACGGAGGAUGCGAGCGUUAUCCGGAUUUAUUGGGUUUAAAGGGUGCGCAGGCGGAUUUUUAAGUCAGCGGUCAAAUCGUGGGGCUCAACCCCAUCCAGCCGUUGAAACUGGGGAUCUAGAGUGUGCGAGAGGUAUGCGGAAUGCGUGGUGUAGCGGUGAAAUGCAUAGAUAUCACGCAGAACCCCGAUUGCGAAGGCAGCAUACCGGUGCACAACUGACGCUCAGGCACGAAAGCGUGGGUAUCGAACAGGAUUAGAUACCCGUGUAGUC
RNAcentral lists this ribosomal RNA (457 nucleotides) under uncultured bacterium. RNAcentral's name for it is "partial 16S ribosomal RNA". It matches the Rfam family "Bacterial small subunit ribosomal RNA", at positions 338 to 795 of the family's 1533-position model. The record is from RNAcentral.